This 522-nucleotide ribosomal RNA is filed under the name uncultured bacterium. RNAcentral's name for it is "bacterial SSU rRNA". It matches the Rfam family "Bacterial small subunit ribosomal RNA", at positions 153 to 653 of the family's 1533-position model. The record is from RNAcentral.
GAAAGGAGGGGUAAUACCGGAUGUGGUCGUCCUGCGCAUGUAGGACUAUCCAAAGGUGGGGAUCUUCGGACUGNGCCGCUUGAGGAUGAGCCCGCGUACCAUCAGCUUGUUGGUGGGGUAACGGCCUACCAAGGCAACGACGGUUAGCUGGUCUGAGAGGAUGGUCAGCCACACUGGGACUGAGACACUGCCCAGACUCCUACGGGAGGCUGCAGUCGAGAAUCAUUCGCAAUGCGCGAAAGCGUGACGAUGCGACGCCGCGUGGAGGAUGAAGGCCUUCGGGUUGUAAACUCCUGUCGUGAGGGAACAAUGGCCCCGGUGUUAAUAGCGCCGGGGUGUGAUGGUACCUCAAGAGGAAGCCACGGCUAACUCUGUGCCAGCAGCCGCGGUAAUACAGAGGUGGCGAGCGUUGUUCGGAUUUACUGGGCGUAAAGGGUGCGUAGGCGGUUUCGUGUGUCGGGUGUGAAAUCUCACCGUUCAUCGGUGAAACUGCACUCGAAACUACGGAACUAGAGUACAGGA